This 468-nucleotide ribosomal RNA is filed under the name uncultured bacterium. Its description in RNAcentral is "partial 16S ribosomal RNA". It matches the Rfam family "Bacterial small subunit ribosomal RNA", at positions 28 to 507 of the family's 1533-position model. The record is from RNAcentral.
GACGAACGCUGGCGGCGUGCUUAACACAUGCAAGUCGAACGGAAAGGCCCUGCUUUUGUGGGGUGCUCGAGUGGCGAACGGGUGAGUAACACGUGAGUAACCUGCCCUUGACUUUGGGAUAACUUCAGGAAACUGGGGCUAAUACCGGAUAGGAGCUCCUGCUGCAUGGUGGGGGUUGGAAAGUUUCGGCGGUUGGGGAUGGACUCGCGGCUUAUCAGCUUGUUGGUGGGGUAGUGGCUUACCAAGGCUUUGACGGGUAGCCGGCCUGAGAGGGUGACCGGCCACAUGGGGACUGAGAUACGGCCCAGACGCCUACGGGAGGCAGCAGUGGGGAGUAUUGCACAAUGGGCGGAAGCCUGAUGCAGCAACGCCGCGUGCGGGAUGACGGCCUUCGGGUUGUAAACCGCUUUCGCCUGUGACGAAGCGUGAGUGACGGUAAUGGGUAAAGAAGCACCGGCUAACUACGUG